UUAAAUUGAAGAGUUUGAUCAUGGCUCAGAUUGAACGCUGGCGGCAGGCCUAACACAUGCAAGUCGAACGGUAACAGGAAACAGCUUGCUGUUUCGCUGACGAGUGGCGGACGGGUGAGUAAUGUCUGGGAAACUGCCUGAUGGAGGGGGAUAACUACUGGAAACGGUAGCUAAUACCGCAUAACGUCGCAAGACCAAAGAGGGGGACCUUCGGGCCUCUUGCCAUCGGAUGUGCCCAGAUGGGAUUAGCUAGUAGGUGGGGUAACGGCUCACCUAGGCGACGAUCCCU
Molecule: ribosomal RNA, 289 nt
Filed under: Escherichia coli
Lineage: Bacteria; Pseudomonadati; Pseudomonadota; Gammaproteobacteria; Enterobacterales; Enterobacteriaceae
Description: partial 16S ribosomal RNA
Rfam family: Bacterial small subunit ribosomal RNA
Source: RNAcentral